RNAcentral lists this transfer RNA (73 nucleotides) under Anguilla anguilla (European eel). Its description in RNAcentral is "tRNA-OTHER". Lineage: Eukaryota; Metazoa; Chordata; Actinopteri; Anguilliformes; Anguillidae. The record is from RNAcentral.
GGCAGGGUGGUGCAGUGGGUAGCGCUGUCGCCUCUCAGCAGGAAGGUUGCGGGUUUGAAUCUCGGCUCUGGCC